This 167-nucleotide transfer RNA is filed under the name Cyphellophora attinorum. RNAcentral's name for it is "Phialophora attae tRNA". It matches the Rfam family "tRNA". From Rfam's summary of the family: Transfer RNA (tRNA) molecules are approximately 80 nucleotides in length. Their secondary structure includes four short double-helical elements and three loops (D, anti-codon, and T loops). The record is from Rfam by way of RNAcentral. Lineage: Eukaryota; Fungi; Ascomycota; Eurotiomycetes; Chaetothyriales; Cyphellophoraceae.
GACAGUUUGGCCGAGUGGUUAAGGCGACAGACUCGAAUGUGGUCACCUCCAGGGGUGCUUCUCACUACUAGUUAUCUGUUGGGUUCGCCCGCACAGCACGUCUCCCCACCCUCCACCGCCUGAAAUUCUCGCUAACUUACAGUAGGGUUCAAAUCCUGUAGCUGUCG